GACGAACGCUGGCGGCGCGCUUAACACAUGCAAGUCGAACGGAAAGGCCUGCUUUCCCUUGUGGAUUGCGGGUACUCGAGUGGCGAACGGGUGAGUAACACGUGAGUGAUCUGCCCCCAACUUGGGUAUAAGCCUGGGAAACUGGGUCUAAUUCCCGAUAGGACUGCAGGGUGGUGCCUGUGGUGGAAAACGAUUUUUUAGUGGUUGGGGAUGAGCUCGCGGCCUAUCAGCUUGUUGGUGGGGUAAUGGCCUACCGAGGCGGCGACGGGUAGCCGGCCUGAGAGGGUGGACGGCCACAUUGGGACUGAGAUACGGCCCAGACUCCUACGGGAGGCAGCAGUGGGGAAUAUUGCACAAUGGGCGGAAGCCUGAUGCAGCGACGCCGCGUGGGGGAUGACGGCCUUCGGGUUGUAAACUCCUUUCGACCGCGAGGAAGCCACCUGGUUGGAAGGGUGGUGACGGUAGUGGUAGAAGAAGCACCGGCUAACUACGUG
Molecule: ribosomal RNA, 494 nt
Filed under: uncultured bacterium
Lineage: Bacteria
Description: partial 16S ribosomal RNA
Rfam family: Bacterial small subunit ribosomal RNA
Source: RNAcentral